GUGAGUGGUCAAUUCAAUUUAUUCUUUUGAUUGUUUAAUUUGUAUGCCUUUGUGAUGCCUUUUUGUUACAUGUCCUACAUUAUUUUAUUUAAUCGUAUUGUUUAUUUGUUUAUGUUUUUGAUGCAGCACACAGAGGAAAUAUCAAGCUUACAAAAAGGAAAAAAACUACUGGUGUUACAUCCAACCUGCCUUGCAUCGUUUUCUCACUCCUUGCCGUUCGGGUCUUCUGAACGAGACUCUGUCUGCUCACCCAACAUUCACUUCCCCCAAACCACAUCACCCCUACAGUUCCUUCAGAUACUGUAUAUUGUGUUUCUUUUUGAACCGUAUAUUAUCUUCAGGGAAGCGGGCUUCGAUCAGCUGAUCGCAGGUGUUGCUGCUCUUUGCUUCUGGUCGCUUGAUUGUUUCGCCUCUCGCGCCGGAUGCGGCCGCGUCGGAGGAAGCUGCCGCCGUCUCCGUUCCACCGGCUCCUUCACGUGUUUCCAUCCAACUCGGCAGCGUCGUGACGACGGGACCGAGCCGACGCAUCACCGGCGCACCGGGAG
Gasterosteus aculeatus aculeatus (three-spined stickleback) is the source of this 545-nucleotide long non-coding RNA. NCBI's taxonomy places the organism in Eukaryota, Metazoa, Chordata, Actinopteri, Perciformes, Gasterosteidae. The record is from Ensembl.